This 541-nucleotide ribosomal RNA is filed under the name uncultured bacterium. Its description in RNAcentral is "bacterial SSU rRNA". It matches the Rfam family "Bacterial small subunit ribosomal RNA", at positions 37 to 587 of the family's 1533-position model. The record is from RNAcentral.
UGGCGGCGCGCAUAACACAUGCAAGUCGAGCGAGGGCUUAUUUCUCGCAAGGAGAGAUAAGUUCCUAGCGGCGAACGGGUGAGUAACACGUGGGCAACCUUUCCUAUCGCGGGGGAUAACACCGGGAAACCGAUGCUAAUACCGCAUGUCGUCACUGGUCGCAUGGCUGGUGAAGAAAGCAGCAAUGCACGAUGGGGUGGGCCCGCGGCCUAUCAGCUAGUCGGUGGGGUAACGGCCUACCGAGGCGAUGACGGGUAGCUGGUCUGAGAGGACGGCCAGCCACACGGGGACUGAGACACGGCCCCGACUCCUACGGGAGGCAGCAGUGAGGAAUCUUCCGCAAUGGGCGAAAGCCUGACGGAGCGACGCCGCGUGUGGGAUGAAGUCUUUCGGGAUGUAAACCACUGUCGGAGGGGAAGACAUCGACGGUACCCUCCAAGAAAGCCCCGGCUAACUACGUGCCAGCAGCCGCGGUAAUACGUAGGGGGCAAGCGUUAUCCAGAUUUACUGGGCGUAAAGCGCGUGUAGGCGGCUGGUUAGG